AUGAUCAUCAAUGAACGAGGUGAAUGGGAGUCUGAAAUUGACCCUGAAGGUGGCAAUGAUGAAGUGGAAGAGGAGCGAGGUUGGGAAGUAGGAGGAACUAUUUUAUCUCAUGAGGGACUUGAUGGAGAAGCUUUGGUUGUAUGUCGCUCACUUAACGCCGAGGUUGUGAAGGAGGAAAAGGGGCAGCGGCAUAAUCUUUUCCACACCCUUUGCCUUAUCAACUCAAAGAUAUGUCGAGUGAUUGUUGAUAGUGGCAGCUGCAACAAUAUUGCAAGUAUGGAGAUGGUCGAGAAGCUUCAAUUGCAAACAAAACGUCACCCACACCCAUACCGCAUGCAAUGGCUGAAUGAUUGCGGUGCAAUUAAGGUGAUUACCAGCGUGCAAAUACCAUUUUCCGUAGGGAAAUAUCAGGAUGAUGUUGAGUGUGAUGUGGUGCCGAUGCACGCUUGUCACUUGCUUCUUGGGUGA
Molecule: ribosomal RNA, 468 nt
Filed under: Triticum aestivum (bread wheat)
Lineage: Eukaryota; Viridiplantae; Streptophyta; Magnoliopsida; Poales; Poaceae
Description: partial small subunit ribosomal RNA
Source: RNAcentral